GACGAACGCUGGCGGCGUGCCUAAUACAUGCAAGUAGAACGCUGAAGGAGGAGCUUGCUUCUCUGGAUGAGUUGCGAACGGGUGAGUAACGCGUAGGUAACCUGCCUGGUAGCGGGGGAUAACUAUUGGAAACGAUAGCUAAUACCGCAUAAUAGUAGAUGUUGCAUGACAUUUACUUAAAAGGUGCAAUUGCAUCACUACCAGAUGGACCUGCGUUGUAUUAGCUAGUUGGUGGGGUAACGGCUCACCAAGGCGACGAUACAUAGCCGACCUGAGAGGGGGGUCGGCCGCACUGGGACUGAGACACGGCCCAGACUCCUACGGGAGGCAGCAGUAGGGAAUCUUCGGCAAUGGACGAAAGUCUGACCGAGCAACGCCGCGUGAGUGAAGAAGGUUUUCGGAUCGUAAAGCUCUGUUGUAAGAGAAGAACGAGGGUGAGAGUGGAAAGUUCACACUGUGACGGUAUCUUACCAGAAAGGGCCGGCUAACUACGUG
RNAcentral lists this ribosomal RNA (495 nucleotides) under uncultured bacterium. RNAcentral describes it as "partial 16S ribosomal RNA". It matches the Rfam family "Bacterial small subunit ribosomal RNA", at positions 28 to 507 of the family's 1533-position model. The record is from RNAcentral.